RNAcentral lists this ribosomal RNA (468 nucleotides) under uncultured bacterium. Its description in RNAcentral is "partial 16S ribosomal RNA". It matches the Rfam family "Bacterial small subunit ribosomal RNA", at positions 28 to 507 of the family's 1533-position model. The record is from RNAcentral.
GACGAACGCUGGCGGCGUGCUUAACACAUGCAAGUCGAACGGAAAGGCCCUGCUUUUGUGGGGUGCUCGAGUGGCGAACGGGUGAGUAACACGUGAGUAACCUGCCCUUGACUUUGGGAUAACUUCAGGAAACUGGGGCUAAUACCGGAUAGGAGCUCCUGCUGCAUGGUGGGGGUUGGAAAGUUUCGUCGGUUGGGGAUGGACUCGCGGCUUAUCAGCUUGUUGGUGGGGUAGUGGCUUACCAAGGCUUUGACGGGUAGCCGGCCUGGGAGGGUGACCGGCAACAUUGGGACUGAGAUACGGCCCAGACUCCUACGGGAGGCAGCAGUGGGGAAUAUUGCACAAUGGGCGGAAGCCUGAUGCAGCAACGCCGCGUGCGGGAUGACGGCCUUCGGGUUGUAAACCGCUUUCGCCUGUGACGAAGCGUGAGUGACGGUAAUGGGUAAAGAAGCACCGGCUAACUACGUG